Long non-coding RNA from Dreissena polymorpha, 2373 nucleotides. RefSeq lists it as uncharacterized. The record is from RefSeq and is a predicted model, not a curated record. The transcript has 4 exons. NCBI's taxonomy places the organism in Eukaryota, Metazoa, Mollusca, Bivalvia, Myida, Dreissenidae.
UGUAAACAAGGGGCAUAACCACUCAGCAAAUUGUACUUACGGAUUUCGGAUGUGAUUGUGGAAUGUGUUUUAGUUUCAAACAUUUGUUAUGAUUUAUGAAAAUUUGGGGUCGCAAAAACUGGUGAACAGUGCCAGAAGAAGUACCAAAAUUCCAAGGCUCGGUCUUCUUCAUAUGCGUUACAAAGCAGUGAGAGUGCCACAACAGCCAGCAGAGAAGAACAUAUGCGUGUACCAGUCAUGAAAGUAGGGGCAUUUUGUAUUGGAACUCAAUUACAACAUAGAUAGACACAAGGACAGAUGCACAUAUGGAUUCAGGUGUACCCUAUAUCUUCUUAACAGGGCGUAUAAUAUACACAUUAUUUAUAGCACCUUUUUUUAAAUUAAUAAACAUUAAUUCACAUAACAUUAAAGACCAAGAAUAAAAAAAUAAUUGUCAUAAUUUUUAUUGAAAAUGUUGCGAGAAAAAAAAUUCCCCGAUGUAAUUUCGAACCACCGACUAGUCGGUGAAAUAUAAUCUGGAGCACCGAUGCGCUACCAACUGCGUCAUGGCAGUGUAACUUUUGAAGGCAUAUACAUAUCUAUAAGUAAAUUCCUACAUCUAUAAAUAGAUUUGUAAUAGUAAUGAAAUCAAAAUUUAUGCGAAGUAAAUGUCUUGUAAACGUUUUCAAAUAGGUUUCCAUAUUUAGAGAAUAUCCAUUAUUAUAGUUUAUGAUACAUGCAAAUUAUAUGUUAUUACUUUUUCAUUCAUCCUGGUAAAGUGACAAAAUGAGGACGUAUGUAAAUUUUCUUUUUAUCAGUCCAAUAAUUCUGUUUGAUUUGUUAAGUGUACUGUUAAUUUGUAAGUUCCACAUUUUUUAAAUCAAAUCCCCAAGGCUUUUUUGAAAGAAUCUCUAUUAAUCAAAAUUAAAUGCCUCCAUUGUUUUCUGUAAUGUUAUAAAAAUGCAUUAUUUUUAAGAGACUUUGUUCACUUGUCUAUAUAUUAGAGGUAUUACGCUUUUCUUUACUCCACUAGAACGGAUCAGUACCGAUCAGUUCUCAUUGCUCUAAUGAAAACGUAAUUUUUCGGUAGUUCUUCCGAUCUUUCACACGUGUUUUAAAAACUCUAUAUAUAAUCUCUCUCAGUAUGUAUUAUUUAUCACUUCUAUAAUACUUAUAAUACACGAUAUGAACCUAAUCACAAGUUUUUAUAUCUAAAGAUUUCAGACUAAAUCCUUUAUAUGUAUAUUUUGGCAUCAAACGUGUUUCUGCUUUUCGUUAAUAUGAAUGUACAAAAUAUAGCGCACAGGUUAUGUUAAUAAAUAAAUAAUGUCUUGUGUAAAUAAAGAUUUACUGUGGAAAAAGAUAUUAACCUCCGCUUAUUGUUAUGAUGUUAUGUAUAUAUAUUAUUUUAUUUCACGAUCAAUGCCUACACAACAGCUUUGUCAUGUUUGUUGAUACGUAAAUGCUUUUUUCCGGUAGACUAGAUGGUUAUGAUAUGGUUUAAUAGUCAAAAACUAUAUAAAAAAAGUUUUUUAUAUAAGAGAUGGUUUAUAUAGCGUCGAUACAAAGUAAAAGGGCAUUCACUGGAAUAUCCAUGGACGUCAGUAUGUCUGUAGAAACAAAUUUGAUAAAACAGACUCUACAACACAUUUCCAUACUUGUCUUUGUACAACAUUCAAAGAUACCGGUAUGUGGAUCAUUCCUCUUGAUAUAUGCAUGUGCCAUUUUUACCAUCUUGUGUAAAGCAUUACAGAAAUAAUGCUACCUGUUCAACUUAGAAUAACUUAGUUUUGUCAACCCAUGAUCCUCCGGUCGAAAUCCCACCCAAAUAAUUAAAAACAAAUACAAAUAUUAAGCUCUGCAACCACAAGGCUCACAGGUUUCAUUUUAGGUAUGUAACACUGUAUUGUAGUUCUCUACAAACUGUAUGUAAAUAAUGCCCCUAGAAUCAUAGCUGUCCAAGCCCAAUGAUCCUUUAUAUGAUUGUUACUACCGGUACCUACUACAUAUUACAUGAUGCUUUGGACGCAUUGUCACCACUGUGACAAGCUCUAGUUGAUUUAAGAUUAUCAAAAGUUAAAGGCUAAAAGGUGUUAACAGAGAUCUGACUUUGUGAAAGAUGGCAGUUUGGAUCUAUUGGUAUAAAUGAAUUUUGUAUUUAAGUUUUUCACUGUAUUGCAAUUCUUCAUUGUAAAACAAUAAUGGCUUCAUAAAUAAUGUAUGUAUGUGUAUACAUGUAGUUUUUUGUCCAAUUAUUAUGUGAUACCUGCGUACUUGUAGAAUCAGGUUAAGAUUAAAGGGACUUAUCUCCCUAUCAUUCCGCAUAAUGGUUAUUGUUCUUUUUACAUUGUUGAUACUUCAAAAAUGGAUUAAACAUCAGUUUAAGGUGAACAA